This 414-nucleotide ribosomal RNA is filed under the name uncultured bacterium. Its description in RNAcentral is "bacterial SSU rRNA". It matches the Rfam family "Bacterial small subunit ribosomal RNA", at positions 355 to 786 of the family's 1533-position model. The record is from RNAcentral.
UCGGGAAUAUUGCGCAAUGGAGGAAACUCUGACGCAGUGACGCCGCGUAUAGGAAGAAGGUUUUCGGAUUGUAAACUAUUGUCGUUAGGGAAGAGAAAGGACAGUACCUAAGGAGGAAGCUCCGGCUAACUACGUGCCAGCAGCCGCGGUAAUACGUAGGGAGCGAGCGUUAUCCGGAAUUAUUGGGUGUAAAGGGCGCGUAGACGGGAGAGCAAGUUAGUUGUGAAAUCCCUCGGCUUAACUGAGGAACUGCAACUAAACUACUUUUCUUGAGUGCAGGAGAGGUAAGUGGAAUUCCUAGUGUAGCGGUGAAAUGCGUAGAUAUUAGGAGGAACACCAGUGGCGAAGGCGACUUACUGGACUGUAACUGACGUUGAGGCACGAAAGUGUGGGGAGCAAACAGGAUUAGAUACC